Molecule: ribosomal RNA, 621 nt
Filed under: Icerya seychellarum
Lineage: Eukaryota; Metazoa; Arthropoda; Insecta; Hemiptera; Monophlebidae
Description: SSU rRNA
Rfam family: Eukaryotic small subunit ribosomal RNA
Source: RNAcentral
UCAUAUGCUUGUCUCAAAGAUUAAGCCAUGCAUGUCUAAGUGCAAGCCGUCCCGUACGGUGAAACCGCGAAAGGCUCAUUAAAUCAGUUAUGGUUCCUUAGAUCGUACCCACGUUACUUGGAUAACUGUGGUAAUUCUAGAGCUAAUACAUGCCGAUAGAGUUCCGCCCAUCAGUCGAGUUGGUUCGCAAGUCUCUUGCGGCCUCUCGACGUUCGGAAGGAACGCUUUUAUUAGAUCAAAACCGGCCAGACGGCGUAUCGUUCCGACGGUGCGUCGUAAACGGCCCGCGCAAAGACUUGGUGACUCUGAAUAACUUUGAGCUGAUCGCACGGUCCUAGCACCGGCGACGCAUCUUUCAAAUGUCUGCCUUAUCAACUGUCGACGGUAGGUUCGACGCCUACCGUGGUGGUAACGGGUAACGGGGAAUCAGGGUUCGAUUCCGGAGAGGGAGCCUGAGAAACGGCUACCACAUCCAAGGAAGGCAGCAGGCGCGCAAAUUACCCACUCCCGGCACGGGGAGGUAGUGACGAAAAAUAACGAUACGGGACUCAAAUGAGGCCCCGUAAUCGGAAUGAGUACACUGUAAAACAUUGGUCGCACGAGGAUCAAUUGGAGGGCAAG